UACGUAGGGUCCGAGCGUUGUCCGGAAUUAUUGGGCGUAAAGGGCUCGUAGGCGGUCUGUUGCGUCGGGAGUGAAAACUUACAGCUUAACUGUGAGCGUGCUUCCGAUACGGGCAGACUUGAGGUAUUCAGGGGAGAACGGAAUUCCUGGUGUAGCGGUGAAAUGCGCAGAUAUCAGGAGGAACACCGGUGGCGAAGGCGGGUCUCUGGGCCGUAACUGACGCUGAGGAGCGAAAGCAUGGGGAGCGAACAGG
Molecule: ribosomal RNA, 253 nt
Filed under: uncultured bacterium
Lineage: Bacteria
Description: partial 16S ribosomal RNA
Rfam family: Bacterial small subunit ribosomal RNA
Source: RNAcentral